Molecule: ribosomal RNA, 264 nt
Filed under: Pseudomonas helmanticensis
Lineage: Bacteria; Pseudomonadati; Pseudomonadota; Gammaproteobacteria; Pseudomonadales; Pseudomonadaceae
Description: partial 16S ribosomal RNA
Rfam family: Bacterial small subunit ribosomal RNA
Source: RNAcentral
CGGUAAUACAGAGGGUGCAAGCGUUAAUCGGAAUUACUGGGCGUAAAGCGCGCGUAGGUGGUUCGUUAAGUUGGAUGUGAAAUCCCCGGGCUCAACCUGGGAACUGCAUUCAAAACUGUCGAGCUAGAGUAUGGUAGAGGGUGGUGGAAUUUCCUGUGUAGCGGUGAAAUGCGUAGAUAUAGGAAGGAACACCAGUGGCGAAGGCGACCCACCUGGACUGAUACUGACACUGAGGUGCGAAAGCGUGGGGAGCAAACAGGAUUA